UACGGAGGGUGCGAGCGUUGUCCGGAAUCACUGGGCGUAAAGGGCGCGUAGGCGGCCGUGUAAGUCACUUGUGAAAUCCCGGGGCUCAACUCCGGGGCUGCAGGUGAGACUGCAUGGCUAGAGCUUGGUAGAGGCGAGUGGAAUUCCCGGUGUAGCGGUGGAAUGCGUAGAUAUCAGGAGGAACACCGGUGGCGAAGGCGGCUCUCUGGACGGUGACUGACGCUGAGACGCGAAAGCGUGGGGAGCAAACAGG
This 253-nucleotide ribosomal RNA is filed under the name uncultured bacterium. Its description in RNAcentral is "partial 16S ribosomal RNA". It matches the Rfam family "Bacterial small subunit ribosomal RNA", at positions 524 to 776 of the family's 1533-position model. The record is from RNAcentral.